Arabidopsis lyrata subsp. lyrata is the source of this 296-nucleotide microRNA precursor. It matches the Rfam family "MIR869 microRNA precursor family". The record is from Rfam. Lineage: Eukaryota; Viridiplantae; Streptophyta; Magnoliopsida; Brassicales; Brassicaceae.
GCUCACCACACAGAUUUCCAUACAGUAAAAGAAAGUAUCACUUAUCUCAACCCUAGUGAUUGGACCAGUACUGUGCUCAUCAUAAUUGAGCCAUAAUUCACGAUUCCUCAUCAGAUACAAAGUCACAACCUUAUAUUGUCCCUUGUUUCUAAACCAAUCUCACAGAUUAUGAUGGCUUUGUUUCUGAUGAAGGAUUUUGGAUUGUUUCUUAACACUGAGAAGCACAUUGUUGGUUCAAUUCCUGGGUUUGAGAUAAUUGACACUUCUUAUACCGUAUGAAAACAUGUGUGGUGGGC